RNAcentral lists this ribosomal RNA (481 nucleotides) under Salinicoccus sp. Its description in RNAcentral is "bacterial SSU rRNA". It matches the Rfam family "Bacterial small subunit ribosomal RNA", at positions 82 to 547 of the family's 1533-position model. The record is from RNAcentral. Lineage: Bacteria; Bacillati; Bacillota; Bacilli; Caryophanales; Staphylococcaceae.
UCCUGUGACGCGAGUGGCGGACGGGUGAGUAACACGUAGGCAACCUGCCCAUCAGACUGGGAUAACCACGGGAAACCGUGGCUAAUACCGGAUAAUCCUUUCCCACACAAGUGGGAAAGUUGAAAGGCGGCCUUUUGGCUGUCACUGAUGGAUGGGCCUGCGGCGCAUUAGCUGGUUGGUGGGGUAACGGCCCACCAAGGCGACGAUGCGUAGCCGACCUGAGAGGGUGAUCGGCCACACUGGGACUGAGACACGGCCCAGACUCCUACGGGAGGCAGCAGUAGGGAAUCUUCCGCAAUGGACGAAAGUCUGACGGAGCAACGCCGCGUGAGUGAAGAAGGGUUUCGGCUCGUAAAACUCUGUUGUCAGGGAAGAACGCCGACGGGAGUAACUGCCCGUCGGGUGACGGUACCUGACCAGAAAGCCACGGCUAACUACGUGCCAGCAGCCGCGGUAAUACGUAGGUGGCAAGCGUUAUCCG